This 274-nucleotide long non-coding RNA is filed under the name Gossypium barbadense (sea-island cotton). RNAcentral describes it as "long non-coding RNA (GBAR_LNC010283)". Lineage: Eukaryota; Viridiplantae; Streptophyta; Magnoliopsida; Malvales; Malvaceae. The record is from RNAcentral.
AUCUAUAUGCUACUGGCCCAAUCCGCUCGGUAAUCUCAUACGGCCCAAUGAAUCCCGGACUCAAUUUGCCUUUUCUAUCGAACAAGAGUACUUUCUUCCACAGAGACACCUUCAAAAACACUUUGUCACCAAUCUCAAACUCAUUGUCUUUUCUUUUCAAACCCGCAUAAGAUUUCUGACGAUCGAAAGCUUCUUUUAAACUAUCUCGGAUUACUUUUAUUUUCUAUUCAAUCCCUUUGAUCAAAUCGACUUCAUGAAUCUUAUUUUUGCUGAG